AUUGAACGCUGGCGGAAUGCUUUACACAUGCAAGUCGAACGGCAGCACGGGAGCUUGCUCCUGGUGGCGAGUGGCGAACGGGUGAGUAAUAUAUCGGAACGUAUCCAAUAAUGGGGGAUAACUAGUCGAAAGAUUAGCUAAUACCGCAUACGCCCUGAGGGGGAAAGCUGGGGAUCUUCGGACCUAGCGUUAAUGGAGCGGCCGAUAUCUGAUUAGCUAGUAGGUGAGGUAAAAGCUCACCUAGGCGACGAUCAGUAGCUGGCCUGAGAGGACGACCAGCCACACUGGAACUGAGACACGGUCCAGACUCCUACGGGAGGCAGCAGUGGGGAAUUGUGGACAAUGGGCGCAAGCCUGAUCCAGCCAUUCCGCGUGAGUGAAGAAGGCCUUCGGGUUGUAAAGCUCUUUCGCAAGGGAAGAAAACUUAACCUCUAACAUAGGUUGAGGCUGACGGUACCUUGAUAAGAAGCACCGGCUAACUACGUGCCAGCCGCCGCAGUAA
Molecule: ribosomal RNA, 502 nt
Filed under: uncultured bacterium
Lineage: Bacteria
Description: partial 16S ribosomal RNA
Rfam family: Bacterial small subunit ribosomal RNA
Source: RNAcentral